CCUACGGGAGGCAGCAGUGGGGAAUCUUGCGCAAUGGGGGCAACCCUGACGCAGCCAUGCCGCGUGAAUGAUGAAGGCCUUAGGGUUGUAAAGUUCUUUUGCCCGUGACGAUGAUGACGGUAACGGGAGAAUAAGCUCCGGCUAACUUCGUGCCAGCAGCCGCGGUAAUACGAAGGGGGCUAGCGUUGUUCGGAAUUACUGGGCGUAAAGCGCGCGCAGGCGGUUCGAUAAGUUAGGGGUGAAAUCCCUGGGCUCAACCCAGGAAUGGCCUUUAAGACUGUCGAGCUAGAGGACGAGAGAGGUGAGUGGAAUUCCCAGUGUAGAGGUGAAAUUCGUAGAUAUUGGGAAGAACACCGGUGGCGAAGGCGGCUCACUGGCUCGUUUCUGACGCUGAGGCGCGAAAGCGUGGGGAGCAAACAGGAUUAGAUACCCUGGUAGUCCACGCCCUAAACGAUGAGUGCCAGGUGUCGGGAAGCUUAGCUUCUCGGCGCCGCAGCUAACGCCUUAAGCACUCCGCCUCGGGGAGUACGGCCGCAAGGUUAAAACUACAAAUGAAUUGACGG
Molecule: ribosomal RNA, 563 nt
Filed under: uncultured bacterium
Lineage: Bacteria
Description: bacterial SSU rRNA
Rfam family: Bacterial small subunit ribosomal RNA
Source: RNAcentral